This is a long non-coding RNA of Pan troglodytes (chimpanzee), 1631 nucleotides long. RefSeq lists it as uncharacterized. NCBI's taxonomy places the organism in Eukaryota, Metazoa, Chordata, Mammalia, Primates, Hominidae. The transcript is spliced from 3 exons. The record is from RefSeq and is a predicted model, not a curated record.
UUUUUUUUUUUUUUUAAUUUAAUUACCCCUCCCUGCCCUGGCUCUGCCAGCUUCAGCUCCACCUCCUUGGAGGAAGCAGGCGCUUUUACAGAGCGCCGCGCGGCAGGUCCCCUUUCAGCCAAUCACAUCUGCGGAACCGCGUUCCGAGUCGUUUGAGGGUGUCUGGUAAAGCAAGCUCGGGGAGGUGUUGGAAAUCUGAAUGUCACCCGCGGUCCGGAGCAGAUAGGAUGGGCUGGGAAGGUACCCGCGAACUGCCGCCGGAAUUCGCUGGCAGCUGUGCGAGGCUCAGGUGUUCUAGUUUCUUUGACAUUUCCCUUCCUGAAAGCGGCAAGGAGAGGUCUAAGAGUGGGCAAACUUCAACGUUCGGUUACAGUGUAAUUAAUGAGAGUGGUGAGUUUUUAUGCAGUGUAAUUAUGCCACGAUUUGUUGUUGCUCAGUGGCUUUUUCAGAAAUUUCUACAGAUUAUUUAAAUUUUCCACAAAUUUCUACGGAUUAAUUCAAUGGCAGCUCACUUUCUCCUUUUAUGAUCGGAUGUGUCCAAAAGUGAGGAAAAAGACAAUUGUCUACAAAGAAAGAGGCUGCCAAGUGGAGACAGAAAAGCAGUUAUGAGACUGAUGAUAGAUUCCAAUUUGUUAUCGAAAGGAAGGAGGAAACCUGAACAGUACAUCCAGAGAAUCCAGCAAAGCAUACCACGGCAUGAACAUGCAAGUGGACAGAAUUAAAACACAUGCCAGAAACACUAAUGGAUUCUAAACAAGAUGCAGUUUCAUUUCCUGAGCCUAUACGUGAUGUUUUUAACUGUUCUCCAGUUAAUAUGUCUCCAUUUCCAGAAAUCUAACAGGAGAAUCUCUGACUGCUUAACAGAUCACCUAAGCUUGCGAUUUGUGCAAUCCAUUCUAGAGUAAGGGCUCCCCGGCUGCUCCCCGGCCACUGUGUACCCAAAGCAGCGGCUGAAAUAGCCCGGAGUCCAACAGCUCAGCGUCAAGCAGCUCGUGGCAAACGCAGCCGCCGGUCUUGACUGCCAUCACCCAAGGGGUUCCUCUGGGCUCUCCCGCGAGCCAACAGCCGACCUCUCUCCAGCCUAGUCUGGGAAACUCCAGCCAACCCAGGAUCCCAUUUUGUAGUCCCGGGCAGACCCGAAACCCCUGAAAGAACUCCACUCCAGAAGACGCCAGAACAAGUUCCCACGAAUUUCAUGGGCGCCCUUCACAUGAAAACCUCAGCUCCCCUAUCCUCAAGGAACGGGGAAGGGCGCCGGGGAGGGACUUCGGUGGCCAGCUGUCCCUGGGUCGUGGGCGCUGUUUGCUCUGCGGAGCGCCAGCCCUGCACACAGCGGGUGCGGGAAGCGUUGAUGGGAGGCUGGAGGGCGGGGUGAGCGUAAACUAGGAUCUAGCCGGUUCCAGGCGUGGAGAAUCAAAUGUGGUCCUAGAUCUGUAAGUUGCGAAAAGGGGCUUUUGGGAGCGUCAGAGCUUUCUCACUCCGGCCCCCCGCCGCCUUGAGGCUGGCAGAUUUAUACCACACAGGUGGAUGGAGACCUAAACAAAACAGUCCCUGCCGCUGCCUGCCGCUCGCCCCCCACGUCCCCCGGGCCCACCGCAAACUUCAACAAAAUAAACAACUCACCACAGGCA